AAGGGUUGGGCUGGUCGCCCAUUAAAGCGGCACGCGAGCUGGGUUCAGAACGUCGGGAGACAGUUCGGUCCUUAUCCGUCGCGGGCGCAGGAAAUUUGAGAGGAGCUGUCCUUAGUACGAGAGGACCGGGAUGGACACACCGCUGGUGUACCAGUUGUUCCGCCAGGAGCAUCGCUGGGUAGCUAUGUGUGGCAGGGAUAAACGCUGAAAGCAUCUAAGCGUGAAGCCCCCCUCAAGAUGAGAUUUCCCAUUUCUUCGGAAAGUAAGAUCCCUGAAAGAUGAUCAGGUAGAUAG
Molecule: ribosomal RNA, 294 nt
Filed under: Escherichia coli
Lineage: Bacteria; Pseudomonadati; Pseudomonadota; Gammaproteobacteria; Enterobacterales; Enterobacteriaceae
Description: partial 23S ribosomal RNA
Rfam family: Bacterial large subunit ribosomal RNA
Source: RNAcentral